AGAGUUUGAUCCUGGCUCAGGAUGAACGCUGGCGGCGUGCUUAACACAUGCAAGUCGAACGAACCUUCGGGUUAGUGGCGGACGGGUGAGUAACGCGUGGGAAUCUGCCCUCAGGAGGGGGAUAACGGCUGGAAACGACCGCUAAUACCCCAUAUGCCGAGAGGUGAAAUGAAUUUCGCCUGAGGAUGAGCCCGCGUCUGAUUAGCUUGUUGGUGAGGUAAUGGCUCACCAAGGCUUCGAUCAGUAGCUGGUCUGAGAGGAUGAUCAGCCACACUGGGACUGAGACACGGCCCAGACUCCUACGGGAGGCAGCAGUGGGGAAUUUUCCGCAAUGGGCGAAAGCCUGACGGAGCAACGCCGCGUGAGGGAUGAAGGCCUCUGGGCUGUAAACCUCUUUUCUCAAGGAAGAAGAUAUGACGGUACUUGAGGAAUAAGCCACGGCUAAUUCCGUGCCAGCAGCCGCGGUAAUACGGGAGUGGCAAGCGUUAUCCGGAAUUAUUGGGCGUAAAGCGUCCGCAGGCGGCCUUUCAAGUCUGCUGUUAAAGCGUGGAGCUUAACUCCAUUAGAGCAGUGGAAACUGUUGGGCUUGAGUAUGGUAGGGGCAGAGGGAAUUCCCGGUGUAGCGGUGAAAUGCGUAGAUAUCGGGAAGAACACCAGUGGCGAAGGCGCUCUGCUGGGCCAUAACUGACGCUCAUGGACGAAAGCCAGGGGAGCGAAAGGGAUUAGAUACCCCUGUAGUCCUGGCCGUAAACGAUGAACACUAGGUGUCGGGGGAAUCGACCCCCUCGGUGUCGUAGCUAACGCGUUAAGUGUUCCGCCUGGGGAGUACGCACGCAAGUGUGAAACUCAAAGGAAUUGACGGGGGCCCGCACAAGCGGUGGAGUAUGUGGUUUAAUUCGAUGCAACGCGAAGAACCUUACCAGGGUUUGACAUCCUGCGAACCUCUUAGAAAUUUGAGGGUGCCUUCGGGAACGCAGUGACAGGUGGUGCAUGGCUGUCGUCAGCUCGUGUCGUGAGAUGUUGGGUUAAGUCCCGCAACGAGCGCAACCCACGUUUUUAGUUGCCAGCAUUCAGUUGGGCACUCUAGAGAGACCGCCGGUGAUAAACCGGAGGAAGGUGUGGAUGACGUCAAGUCAUCAUGCCCCUUACAUCCUGGGCUACACACGUACUACAAUGCUACGGACAAAGGGCAGCGAACUCGCGAGGGCAAGCAAAUCCCAUAAACCGUGGCUCAGUUCAGAUCGUAGGCUGCAACUCGCCUACGUGAAGGAGGAAUCGCUAGUAAUCGCAGGUCAGCAUACUGCGGUGAAUACGUUCCCGGGCCUUGUACACACCGCCCGUCACACCAUGGAAGUUGGCCACGCCCGAAGUCGUUACUCCAACCCUUGUGGAGGAGGACGCCGAAGGUGGGGCUGAUGACUGGGGUGAAGUCGUAACAAGGUAGCCGUACCGGAAGGUGCGGCUG
Molecule: ribosomal RNA, 1465 nt
Filed under: Prochlorococcus sp. AG-363-L19
Lineage: Bacteria; Bacillati; Cyanobacteriota; Cyanophyceae; Synechococcales; Prochlorococcaceae
Description: bacterial SSU rRNA
Rfam family: Bacterial small subunit ribosomal RNA
Source: RNAcentral